GACGAACGCUGGCGGCGUGCUUAACACAUGCAAGUCGAACGAUGAAGAAAAGAGUUGAAGCUUCGGCAGAAAUCCAUUUCGGAUUAGUGGCAGACGGGUGAGUAACGCGUGAGCAACCUACCUCUUACAAAGGGAUAGCCUCGGGAAACCGGGAUACAUACCAUAUAACAUUGCGACGAAGCAUUUCGAUGCAAUCAAAGCUACGGCGGUAAGAGAUGGGCUCGCGUCCCAUUAACCAGAUGGUGAGGUAACGGCUCACCAUAGUAACGAUGGGUAACCGGCCUGAGAGGGUGAACGGUCACACUGGAACUGGGACACGGUCCAGACUCCUACGGGAGGCAGCAGUGGGGAAUAUUGCACAAUGGCGGGAACUAUGAUGCAGCGACGCCGCGUGAGUGAUGAAGGAAUUCGUUUCGUAAAACUCUGUUCUAUGGGAAGAAAAGGACUGUACCAUAGGAGAAAGCUCCGGCUAACUACGUG
This 480-nucleotide ribosomal RNA is filed under the name uncultured bacterium. Its description in RNAcentral is "partial 16S ribosomal RNA". It matches the Rfam family "Bacterial small subunit ribosomal RNA", at positions 28 to 507 of the family's 1533-position model. The record is from RNAcentral.